This 46-nucleotide non-coding RNA is filed under the name Trichobilharzia regenti. The record is from RNAcentral. Lineage: Eukaryota; Metazoa; Platyhelminthes; Trematoda; Strigeidida; Schistosomatidae.
GUCCUACUGAAGAGUCCCAAACUAGGACGAAACAGAUGUCCAGUAC